UUAAAUUGAAGAGUUUGAUCAUGGCUCAGAUUGAACGCUGGCGGCAGGCCUAACACAUGCAAGUCGAACGGUAACAGGAAACAGCUUGCUGUUUCGCUGACGAGUGGCGGACGGGUGAGUAAUGUCUGGGAAACUGCCUGAUGGGGGGGAUAACUACUGGAAACGGUAGCUAAUACCGCAUAACGUCGCAAGACCAAAGAGGGGGACCUUCGGGCCUCUUGCCAUCGGAUGUGCCCAGAUGGGAUUAGCUUGUUGGUGGGGUAACGGCUCACCAAGGCGACGAUCCCUAGCUGGUCUGAGAGGAUGACCAGCCACACUGGAACUGAGACACGGUCCAGACUCCUACGGGAGGCAGCAGUGGGGAAUAUUGCACAAUGGGCGCAAGCCUGAUGCAGCCAUGCCGCGUGUAUGAAGAAGGCCUUCGGGUUGUAAAGUACUUUCAGCGGGGAGGAAGGGAGUAAAGUUAAUACCUUUACUCAUUGACGUUACCCGCAGAAGAAGCACCGGCUAACUCCGUGCCAGCAGCCGCGGUAAUACGGAGGGUGCAAGCGUUAAUCGGAAUUACUGGGCGUAAAGCGCACGCAGGCGGUUUGUUAAGUCAGAUGUGAAAUCCCCGGGCUCAACCUGGGAACUGCAUCUGAUACUGGCAAGCUUGAGUCUCGUAGAGGGGGGUAGAAUUCCAGGUGUAGCGGUGAAAUGCGUAGAGAUCUGGAGGAAUACCGGUGGCGAAGGCGGCCCCCUGGACGAAGACUGACGCUCAGGUGCGAAAGCGUGGGGAGCAAACAGGAUUAGAUACCCUGGUAGUCCACGCCGUAAACGAUGUCGACUUGGAGGUUGUGCCCUUGAGGCGUGGCUUCCGGAGCUAACGCGUUAAGUCGACCGCCUGGGGAGUACGGCCGCAAGGUUAAAACUCAAAUGAAUUGACGGGGGCCCGCACAAGCGGUGGAGCAUGUGGUUUAAUUCGAUGCAACGCGAAGAACCUUACCUGGUCUUGACAUCCACGGAAGUUUUCAGAGAUGAGAAUGUGCCUUCGGGAACCGUGAGACAGGUGCUGCAUGGCUGUCGUCAGCUCGUGUUGUGAAAUGUUGGGUUAAGUCCCGCAACGAGCGCAACCCUUAUCCUUUGUUGCCAGCGGUCCGGCCGGGAACUCAAAGGAGACUGCCAGUGAUAAACUGGAGGAAGGUGGGGAUGACGUCAAGUCAUCAUGGCCCUUACGACCAGGGCUACACACGUGCUACAAUGGCGCAUACAAAGAGAAGCGACCUCGCGAGAGCAAGCGGACCUCAUAAAGUGCGUCGUAGUCCGGAUUGGAGUCUGCAACUCGACUCCAUGAAGUCGGAAUCGCUAGUAAUCGUGGAUCAGAAUGCCACGGUGAAUACGUUCCCGGGCCUUGUACACACCGCCCGUCACACCAUGGGAGUGGGUUGCAAAAGAAGUAGGUAGCUUAACCUUCGGGAGGGCGCUUACCACUUUGUGAUUCAUGACUGGGGUGAAGUCGUAACAAGGUAACCGUAGGGGAACCUGCGGUUGGAUCACCUCCUUACCUUAAAGAAGC
This 1555-nucleotide ribosomal RNA is filed under the name Escherichia coli. Its description in RNAcentral is "bacterial SSU rRNA". It matches the Rfam family "Bacterial small subunit ribosomal RNA". The record is from RNAcentral. Lineage: Bacteria; Pseudomonadati; Pseudomonadota; Gammaproteobacteria; Enterobacterales; Enterobacteriaceae.